ACCACCAGAUUUCGGGCAAGAUAUCUGUGGUAUAUGUGAUGGUAAAAAUGAAUGUGUUGGUUGUGAUGGUGUUCCAAAUAGCGGCUGGAUUCUAGAUAACUGUGGAGAAUGUCGUCCUACAGAAUAUGAUAUCGAUUGCUUCACGAUUGAUAUACUACCACCAAAAUCCUUGGAUGUCAACCAAAAGUAUGAAUACAUGAGCAUCAUAGUAAGAGGAAAAUAUAUACCACUUACGUCAGUUGUCAACUGUGAUCUUGUACCGAAAUUUAAUAUAUCAAGCAAGGUAAAAACACCAAAACUGGAAAACCUUAUCGUAUCACAAGUACUGUAUAAAGCUAUUAUGCACAGGAUUUUCUUAACAUGGAAGAUGGAACCUGACUGUACACUUGGGGCAUAUUCACUUCGAUGUGUUUUA
This is a long non-coding RNA of Limulus polyphemus (Atlantic horseshoe crab), 415 nucleotides long. RefSeq lists it as uncharacterized. The transcript is spliced from 3 exons. The record is from RefSeq and is a predicted model, not a curated record. NCBI's taxonomy places the organism in Eukaryota, Metazoa, Arthropoda, Merostomata, Xiphosura, Limulidae.